RNAcentral lists this transfer RNA (68 nucleotides) under Pholidoscelis chrysolaemus boekeri. Its description in RNAcentral is "tRNA-Trp". It matches the Rfam family "tRNA". Rfam says of the family: Transfer RNA (tRNA) molecules are approximately 80 nucleotides in length. Their secondary structure includes four short double-helical elements and three loops (D, anti-codon, and T loops). The record is from RNAcentral. Lineage: Eukaryota; Metazoa; Chordata; Lepidosauria; Squamata; Teiidae.
GAAAUAUAGGCUAAUCGUUUAAACCGUGGGCCUUCAAAGCCCAAACUGUGAACUACUCACUAUUUCUG